Molecule: ribosomal RNA, 170 nt
Filed under: Clostridioides difficile
Lineage: Bacteria; Bacillati; Bacillota; Clostridia; Peptostreptococcales; Peptostreptococcaceae
Description: partial 23S ribosomal RNA
Rfam family: Bacterial large subunit ribosomal RNA
Source: RNAcentral
UGGUCAAGUUAUUAAGGGUGCAGGGCGGAUGCCUUGGCACUAGGAGCCGAUGAAGGACGUGAUAAGCUGCGAUAAGCUUCGGGGAGUUGCACGUAAACUUUGAUCCGAAGAUUUCCGAAUGAGGAAACUCACUUAGAGUAAUGUCUAAGUAUCAUUAAGUGAAUACAUAG